UUCUUAUCGAGAAAGGUGGAGGGACUGGCCCGCUGAAGCCUUAGCAGCAGACGUUGAUUUGUACUGUGCUAAUUCCAGAAGCAUUUUUGCUUGAAGAUAAGAA
Molecule: non-coding RNA, 103 nt
Filed under: Oceanobacillus oncorhynchi
Lineage: Bacteria; Bacillati; Bacillota; Bacilli; Caryophanales; Bacillaceae
Description: SAM-I sequence
Rfam family: SAM riboswitch aptamer (S box leader)
About the family: The SAM riboswitch is found upstream of a number of genes which code for proteins involved in methionine or cysteine biosynthesis in Gram-positive bacteria. The SAM riboswitch acts at the level of transcription termination control.
Source: Rfam by way of RNAcentral